GGACCUGACUGCUAUCGGAUUGAUACUAAGCCAUGCGAGUCAUUGUAGCAAUACAAGGCAUACGGCUCAGUAACGCGUAGUCAACCUAACCUAUGGACGGGAAUAACCUCGGGAAACUGAGAAUAAUGCCCGAUAGAACAUUAUGCCUGGAAUGGUUUAUGUUCCAAAUGAUUUAUCGCCGUAGGAUGGGACUGCGGCCUAUCAGUUUGUUGGUGAGGUAAUGGCCCACCAAGACUAUUACAGGUACGGGCUCUGAGAGGAGUAGCCCGGAGAUGGGUACUGAGACACGGACCCAGGCCCUAUGGGGCGCAGCAGGCGAGAAAACUUUGCAAUGUGCGAAAGCACGACAAGGUUAAUCCGAGUGGUUUCUGCUAAAGGAACCUUUUGUCAGUCCUAGAAACACUGAUGAAUAAGGGGUGGGCAAGUUCUGGUGU
Molecule: ribosomal RNA, 434 nt
Filed under: uncultured archaeon
Lineage: Archaea
Description: bacterial SSU rRNA
Rfam family: Archaeal small subunit ribosomal RNA
Source: RNAcentral